CCUACGGGUGGCAGCAGUGAGGAAUAUUGGUCAAUGGACGCAAGCCUGAACCAGCCACGCCGCGUGAAGGAAGAAGGCUCUAUGAUUUUUAAACUGCUUUUGUAAGGGAAGAUAAUGACUGUGGUAAACGUAUAUGCAUCGACCAUCUCCGUACCAGCAGCCGCGGUAAGACGGAGGGUGCAAGCGUUACUCGGACUUACUGGGCGUAAGGGGCGCGUAGGCGGUGUGGGAAGUCAGAUGUGAAAUCCUAUGGCUUAACCAUAGAACUGCAGUUGAAACUGGUAUUCUUGAGUAUGGGAGAGGUAGGUGGAAUUCGUGGUGUAGAGGUGAAAUGCGUAGAGAUCACGAAGAAUACCGAUUGCGAAGGCAGCCUGCUAGACCAUAACUGACGCUGAUGCGCGAAAGCGUGGGGAGCAAACAGGAUUAGAUACCCUAGUAGUC
Molecule: ribosomal RNA, 441 nt
Filed under: uncultured bacterium
Lineage: Bacteria
Description: partial 16S ribosomal RNA
Rfam family: Bacterial small subunit ribosomal RNA
Source: RNAcentral